UGUCAAUUGAUGGCGGGCUGGAACCUCUCGGGGUUACAGCCUUGCUGAAUUAUUCACCCUUGUCUUUUGCGUACUUCUUGUUUCCUUGGUGGGUUCGCCCACCACUAGGACAAACAUAAACCUUUUGUAAUUGCAAUCAGCGUCAGUAACAAAUUAAUAAUUACAACUUUCAACAACGGAUCUCUUGGUUCUGGCAUCGAUGAAGAACGCAGCGAAAUGCGAUAAGUAGUGUGAAUUGCAGAAUUCAGUGAAUCAUCGAAUCUUUGAACGCACAUUGCGCCCUUUGGUAUUCCAAAGGGCAUGCCUGUUCGAGCGUCAUUUGUACCCUCAAGCUUUGCUUGGUGUUGGGCGUCUUGUCUCUAGCUUUGCUGGAGACUCGCCUUAAAGUAAUUGGCAGCCGGCCUACUGGUUUCGGAGCGCAGCACAAGUCGCACUCUCUAUCAGCAAAGGUCUAGCAUCCAUUAAGCCUUUUUUUCAACUUUUGACCUCGGAUCAGGUAGGGAUACCCGCUGAACUUAAGCAUAUCAAUAAGCGGAGGAAAG
Molecule: ribosomal RNA, 542 nt
Filed under: Alternaria alternata
Lineage: Eukaryota; Fungi; Ascomycota; Dothideomycetes; Pleosporales; Pleosporaceae
Description: eukaryotic LSU rRNA
Rfam family: 5.8S ribosomal RNA (bases 165-318)
Source: RNAcentral